This 267-nucleotide ribosomal RNA is filed under the name uncultured bacterium. Its description in RNAcentral is "partial 16S ribosomal RNA". It matches the Rfam family "Bacterial small subunit ribosomal RNA", at positions 94 to 354 of the family's 1533-position model. The record is from RNAcentral.
AGUGGCGAACGGGUGAGUAACACGUGGGGCAACCUGCCCAAAAGAGGGGGAUAACACUUGGAAACAGGUGCUAAUACCGCAUAACCAUAGUUACCGCAUGGUAACUAUGUAAAAGGUGGCUAUGCUACCGCUUUUGGAUGGGCCCGCGGCGCAUUAGCUAGUUGGUGGGGUAAAGGCUUACCAAGGCAAUGGUGCGUAGCCGAACUGAGAGGUUGAUCGGCCACAUUGGGACUGAGACACGGCCCAAACUCCUACGGGAGGCAGCAG